This 255-nucleotide ribosomal RNA is filed under the name uncultured bacterium. Its description in RNAcentral is "partial 16S ribosomal RNA". It matches the Rfam family "Bacterial small subunit ribosomal RNA", at positions 524 to 777 of the family's 1533-position model. The record is from RNAcentral.
GACGAACCGUGCGAACGUUAUUCGGAAUCACUGGGCUUAAAGCGCGUGUAGGCGGGAGGGCACGUCCGUCGCUGAAAUCCCCCGGCUCAACCGGGGAACGGGCACGGAUACGACCUUCCUGGAGGGGCGUAGGGGGACCUGGAACUUCCGGUGGAGCGGUGAAAUGCGUUGAGAUCGGAAGGAACGCCCGUGGCGAAAGCGAGGUCCUGGACGCCUACUGACGCUGAGACGCGAAAGCCAGGGGAGCGAACGGGG